RNAcentral lists this ribosomal RNA (563 nucleotides) under fungal endophyte sp. C3-7B18-1. RNAcentral describes it as "eukaryotic LSU rRNA". The stretch from base 224 to 377 matches the Rfam family "5.8S ribosomal RNA". The record is from RNAcentral. Lineage: Eukaryota; Fungi.
CAACAAGCUGUUCCNUAGGUGAACCUGCGGAAGNAUCAUUAACCCUUCUAUCCCGAGAGCGCCAGCCUUGAGAAGCUCUUGUGCUUCCAGGGCGGUUCUUAUGGAUUUUAACCCAUGUCUUUUGCGUACCAUUUGUUUCCUUGGUGGGCUUUGCCUGCCGAUAGGACACCCCAAAACACCCUUUUNGUAGUUGCAAUCAGNGUCAGAAAAACACAAUUAUUACAACUUUCAACAACGGAUCUCUUGGUUCUGGCAUCGAUGAAGAACGCAGCGAAAUGCGAUAAGUAGUGUGAAUUGCAGAAUUCAGUGAAUCAUNGAAUCUUUGAACGCACAUUGCGCCCCUUGGUAUUCCAUGGGGCAUGCCUGUUCGAGCGUCAUUUGUACCCUCAAGCUCUGCUUGGUGUUGGGUGUUUGUCCCCGUUUCGUCGCGGUGGACUCGCCUUAAAGCAAUUGGCAGCCGGCACACAUGGCUNGGAGGGCAGCACAACAUUUCNCNCUUUNCACUCAUAACGACGACGUCCAAAAGNACAUUUUUACACUCUUGACCUCGGAUCAGGUAAAAA